Molecule: long non-coding RNA, 263 nt
Filed under: Olea europaea (common olive)
Lineage: Eukaryota; Viridiplantae; Streptophyta; Magnoliopsida; Lamiales; Oleaceae
Description: long non-coding RNA (OEUR_LNC003170)
Source: RNAcentral
CGUUUCUAUGAGAAUUCGAGGCUUAAUUCUCUUAGAGAACUUAUGAAACCAAGAGUUGUCCAGGGCCAAAAUGGACUCAACCAUGAGAACCGAAUAGGUUAGAUGAGUCAUGGUGUUGGUACAGUUGUUUGGUUUUACACGAACGGCUGGAUGGUUCAAGACAUCGCGUUCACCAACUAGCUUAGUAAAUCCGAUUGUAUUCAACUAAAGAAGGUUCAAGGCCACAAGCUACCUAUCUUGAUGCUAUGACUUGUCGUGUGUAC